RNAcentral lists this ribosomal RNA (783 nucleotides) under uncultured soil bacterium. Its description in RNAcentral is "bacterial SSU rRNA". It matches the Rfam family "Bacterial small subunit ribosomal RNA", at positions 8 to 823 of the family's 1533-position model. The record is from RNAcentral.
AGAGUUUGAUCCUGGCUCAGAAUCAACGCUGGCGGCGUGCCUAACACAUGCAAGUCAAACGAGAAAGUGGAGCAAUCCAUGAGUAAAGUGGCGCACGGGUGAGUAACACGUGACUAACCUACCCUGGAGUGGGGGAUAACUGAGGGAAACCUUAGCUAAUACCGCAUAAUACCCACGGGUCAAAGGAGCAAUUCGCUUCAGGAGGGGGUCGCGGCCGAUUAGUUAGUUGGCGGGGUAAUGGCCCACCAAGACGAUGAUCGGUAUCCGGCCUGAGAGGGCGCACGGACACACUGGAACUGAAACACGGUCCAGACUCCUACGGGAGGCAGCAGUGGGGAAUUUUGCGCAAUGGGGGAAACCCUGACGCAGCAACGCCGCGUGGAGGAUGAAGUCCUUCGGGACGUAAACUCCUUUCGAUCGGGACGAUUAUGACGGUACCGGAAGAAGAAGCCCCGGCUAACUUCGUGCCAGCAGCCGCGGUAAUACGAGGGGGGCGAGCGUUGUUCGGAAUUAUUGGGCGUAAAGGGUGCGUAGGCGGUUUGGUAAGUCUUAUGUGAAAUCUAUGGGCUCAACUCAUAAACUGCAUGAGAAACUGCCGGGCUUGAGUGUGGGAGAGGUGAGUGGAAUUUCCGGUGUAGCGGUGAAAUGCGUAGAUAUCGGAAGGAACACCUGUGGCGAAAGCGGCUCACUGGACCACAACUGACGCUGAUGCACGAAAGCUAGGGGAGCAAACAGGAUUAGAUACCCUGGUAGUCCUAGCCCUAAACGAUGACUGCUUGGUGU